GCGGCAACAGCUCAAAUUUGAAAUCUGGCUCUUUCAGAGUCCGAGUUGUAAUUUGCAGAGGGUGCUUUGGUGGUAGUUGCGGUCUAAGUUCUUUGGAACAGGACGUCACAGAGGGUGAGAAUCCCGUAUGUGGUCGCUACUUAUCACCGUGUAAAGCCCCUUCGACGAGUCGAGUUGUUUGGGAAUGCAGCUCUAAAUGGGAGGUAAAUUUCUUCUAAAGCUAAAUACUGGCCAGAGACCGAUAGCGCACAAGUAGAGUGAUCGAAAGAUGAAAAGCACUUUGGAAAGAGAGUCAAAUAGCACGUGAAAUUGUUGAAAGGGAAGCGCUUGCAGCCAGACUUGCCUGUAGUUGCUUACCUAGACUUUUGUCUGGGGUACUCUUCUGCAGGCAGGCCAGCAUCAGUUUGGGCGGUUGGAUAAAGGUCUCUGUCACGUACCUCCUUUCGGGGAGGCCUUAUAGGGGAGACGUCAUACAACCAGCCUGGACUGAGGUCCGCGCAUCUGCUAGGAUGCUGGCGUAAUGGCUGUAAGCGGCCCGUCUUGAAACACGGACCAAGGAGUCUAACAUCUAUGCGAGUGUUUGGGUGUCAAGCCCAUACGCGUAAUGAAAGUGAACGGAGGUGGGAACCUUAGGGUGCACCAUCGACCGAUCCUGAUGUCUUCGGAUGGAUUUGAGUAAGAGCAUGGCUGUUGGGACCCGAAAGAUGGUGAACUAUGCUUGAAUAGGGUGAAGCCAGAGGAAACUCUGGUGGAGGCUCGCAGCGGUUCUGACGUGCAAAUCGAUCGUCAAAUUUGGGCAUA
RNAcentral lists this ribosomal RNA (801 nucleotides) under Setophoma terrestris. RNAcentral describes it as "partial large subunit ribosomal RNA". It matches the Rfam family "Eukaryotic large subunit ribosomal RNA", at positions 98 to 919 of the family's 3401-position model. The record is from RNAcentral. Lineage: Eukaryota; Fungi; Ascomycota; Dothideomycetes; Pleosporales; Phaeosphaeriaceae.